RNAcentral lists this ribosomal RNA (464 nucleotides) under Vreelandella stevensii. Its description in RNAcentral is "partial 16S ribosomal RNA". It matches the Rfam family "Bacterial small subunit ribosomal RNA", at positions 338 to 794 of the family's 1533-position model. The record is from RNAcentral. Lineage: Bacteria; Pseudomonadati; Pseudomonadota; Gammaproteobacteria; Oceanospirillales; Halomonadaceae.
CCUACGGGCGGCAGCAGUGGGGAAUAUUGGACAAUGGGGGGAACCCUGAUCCAGCCAUGCCGCGUGUGUGAAGAAGGCCCUCGGGUUGUAAAGCACUUUCAGUGAGGAAGAACGCCUGGUGGUUAAUACCCAUCAGGAAAGACAUCACUCACAGAAGAAGCACCGGCUAACUCCGUGCCAGCAGCCGCGGUAAUACGGAGGGUGCGAGCGUUAAUCGGAAUUACUGGGCGUAAAGCGCGCGUAGGUGGCUUGAUAAGCCGGUUGUGAAAGCCCCGGGCUCAACCUGGGAACGGCAUCCGGAACUGUCAAGCUAGAGUGCAGGAGAGGAAGGUAGAAUUCCCGGUGUAGCGGUGAAAUGCGUAGAGAUCGGGAGGAAUACCAGUGGCGAAGGCGGCCUUCUGGACUGACACUGACACUGAGGUGCGAAAGCGUGGGUAGCAAACAGGAUUAGAUACCCGUGUAUC